RNAcentral lists this ribosomal RNA (451 nucleotides) under uncultured bacterium. RNAcentral's name for it is "partial 16S ribosomal RNA". It matches the Rfam family "Bacterial small subunit ribosomal RNA", at positions 354 to 796 of the family's 1533-position model. The record is from RNAcentral.
GUGGGGAAUAUUGGACAAUGGGGGGAACCCUGAUCCAGCCAUGCCGCGUGUGUGAAGAAGGCCUUUUGGUUGUAAAGCACUUUAAGCGAGGAGGAGGCUACCGAGAUUAAUACUCUUGGAUAGUGGACGUUACUCGCAGAAUAAGCACCGGCUACCUCUGUGCCAGCAGCCGCGGUAAUACAGAGGGUGCAAGCGUUAAUCGGAUUUACUGGGCGUAAAGCGCGCGUAGGUGGCCAAUUAAGUCAAAUGUGAAAUCCCCGAGCUUAACUUGGGAAUUGCAUUCGAUACUGGUUGGCUAGAGUAUGGGAGAGGAUGGUAGAAUUCCAGGUGUAGCGGUGAAAUGCGUAGAGAUCUGGAGGAAUACCGAUGGCGAAGGCAGCCAUCUGGCCUAAUACUGACACUGAGGUGCGAAAGCAUGGGGAGCAAACAGGAUUAGAAACCCGAGUAGUCC